GAUGAACGCUGGCGGCGUGCUUAACACAUGCAAGUCGAACGAAGCACUUUAUUUGAUUUCCUUCGGGACUGAUUAUUUUGUGACUGAGUGGCGGACGGGUGAGUAACGCGUGGGUAACCUGCCUUGUACAGGGGGAUAACAGUUGGAAACGGCUGCUAAUACCGCAUAAGCGCACAGCAUCGCAUGAUGCAGUGUGAAAAACUCCGGUGGUAUAAGAUGGGCCCGCGUUGGAUUAGCUAGUUGGUGAGGUAACGGCCCACCAAGGCGACGAUCCAUAGCCGACCUGAGAGGGUGACCGGCCACAUUGGGACUGAGACACGGCCCAAACUCCUACGGGAGGCAGCAGUGGGGAAUAUUGCACAAUGGGCGAAAGCCUGAUGCAGCGACGCCGCGUGAGCGAAGAAGUAUUUCGGGAUGUAAAGCUCUAUCAGCAGGGAAGAUAAUGACGGUACCUGACUAAGAAGCACCGGCUAAAUACGUG
Molecule: ribosomal RNA, 481 nt
Filed under: uncultured bacterium
Lineage: Bacteria
Description: partial 16S ribosomal RNA
Rfam family: Bacterial small subunit ribosomal RNA
Source: RNAcentral